CCUACGGGAGGCAGCAGUGGGGAAUAUUGCACAAUGGGGGAAACCCUGAUGCAGCGACGCCGCGUGAGUGAAGACGUAUUUCGGUAUGUAAAGCUCUUUCAGUACGGAAGAUAAUGACGGUACCUGUCUAAGAAGCACAGGCUAACUAGGUGCCAGCAGCCGCGGUAAUACGCAGGGGGCAACGGUUAUCCGGAUUUAUUGGGCGUAAAGGGGGCGUAGGUGGUAGGGUAAGUUAGAUGUGAAAUCCCGGGGUUCAACCUCGGGAGUGCAUUUGAAACUGUGCAGCUGGAGAGCAGUUGCGGUACGCAGAAUUUAUAGUGUAGCGGUGAAAUGCAUAGAGAUUAUACAGAACACCAGUGGCGAAGGCGGCUUACCGGGCUGUAACUGACGCUGAGGCACGAAAGCGUGGGGAGCAAACAGGAUUAGAUACCCCAGUAGUC
This 440-nucleotide ribosomal RNA is filed under the name uncultured bacterium. RNAcentral describes it as "partial 16S ribosomal RNA". It matches the Rfam family "Bacterial small subunit ribosomal RNA", at positions 338 to 795 of the family's 1533-position model. The record is from RNAcentral.